This is a long non-coding RNA of Mesocricetus auratus (golden hamster), 549 nucleotides long. RefSeq lists it as uncharacterized. Lineage: Eukaryota; Metazoa; Chordata; Mammalia; Rodentia; Cricetidae. The record is from RefSeq and is a predicted model, not a curated record. The transcript is spliced from 5 exons.
AAAGGUGGAAGGGAAGAAGUGACCCCACAACGUUGUCACUGGCAUGCGUCCCACGCCUCAUUAAUAAAAAUCUGAAGAAUUCCAGAAGCAGAACUAAAAGAAAAAUUAACCACGGUGAGGAAAUCAAGUCCAGACUCUCAGCCUUCAGCUGCGUCCACAGUGACGUCACCAAAGACAGAGACAGACUUGGCUGUUUGUCUUGGGCCCAUGAAGAAUGGUGAUUAUGGACCAGGAAGAGUGAGUGAAACAAGGAUUAUUGAACAAGAGGGAAGAGGAGGAAGUGUGGACCCAGAGGCAGCGUGGCGGGAAGGCAACAUGAAGACCCAAGGCACAGGGACACAGAACCUGCUGGAGCCUGAAACCCAGAUGAGAAGAAGCAUCCAGGCUCCUGCCUGGAAAUUGACCCUCACCUGGACCCGGCAGUCAACAAGCAUUUCCGGCCCUCUUCUUUCUAUGAUCCAUCCUUUGUGUUGAAAUUUCCCAAGCCAACUUGGAAAAAAAAAACAACUACUCCCCAUUAGGAGAAUAAAUAUGUGCUGUUUUAGUUUA